CUUCUCUUUUGUUUUCUUUGAGAGAUUUGGUUUCCCUUCUACCUGCGUCUUACCCUUCGUGUGUGGUUCAUCGUUCAGCCCUGCUUUAACAAUCCAUGCCAUCCAUAACAGAAAAUUUUCUGUUAUAUACUACCGACUCUGAUUUUUCUGACUACAAGAUGACCUUAUUUCACUGGUACCACCUACAAGGCCGCAACUAUCUCUAUACCAGAGAAAUCUAUAUGAAGUUGCAUGUGUGCCACAGAAAAGGCUAAUGGUUGAACAAGUAUCCAUGGCUAGACAAAGAUAAUAUAGUUCAUUUACUGUCUGC
Molecule: long non-coding RNA, 310 nt
Organism: Lolium rigidum
Lineage: Eukaryota; Viridiplantae; Streptophyta; Magnoliopsida; Poales; Poaceae
Exons: 3
Source: RefSeq, a predicted model, not a curated record